GGAAGGAUCAUUAUCGUACAACAGAGGCCACCUAGGGCUGUCGCUGGCCCUUUCACAGGCUGUGCACGCCCAAAGUGGACUCUUACAUCCAUUUCACCCCAUUGUGCAUUACCGCGUAGGGCCUCCUAUCGGAGGUCUUGCGUUUUUACAACAAACACCAUUUUAAUGKAUGUUUAGAAUGUCUUUUGCGAUUAAACGCAAUCAAUAUAACUUUCAACAACGGAUCUCUUGGCUCUCGCAUCGAUGAAGAACGCAGCGAAAUGCGAUACGUAAUGUGAAUUGCAGAAUUCAGUGAAUCAUCGAAUCUUUGAACGCACCUUGCACCCCUUGGUAUUCCGAGGGGUACACCCGUUUGAGUGUCGUGAACACCAUCAACCUUCUUGGUUUCUUUACCAAAAAGGCUUGGACAUUGGAGGCUUUCCUUGCUGGCUUAUAUUUUGAGUCAGCUCCUCCUAAAUGAAUUAGUGGGAUCUGCUUUGCUGACCCUUGACGUGAUAAGUAUCCUUCUACGUCUUGGUUCUUUUGCACUGUCACCUGCUUCAAACUGUCUUUACAUCAAAGACAAUGUUCGAGUUGACUCGACCUCAUUGACCUUGACCUCAAAUCGGGUGAGACUACCCGCUGAACUUAAGCAUAUCAAUAAGCGGAGGAAAAGAAACUAACAAGGAUUCCCCUAGUAACUGCGAGUGAAGCGGGAAAAGCUCAAAUUUAAAAUCUGGUGGUCUUUGACCAUCCGAGUUGUAAUUUAGAGAAGCGUCUUCCGCGCUGGACCAUGCACAAGUCUCCUGGAAUGGAGCGUCAUAGAGGGUGAGAAUCCCGUCUUUGGCAUGGAUCCCAGGGCUUCUGUGAUGCGCUCUCGACGAGUCGAGUUGUUUGGGAAUGCAGCUCAAAAUGGGUGGUGAACUCCAUCUAAAGCUAAAUAUUGGCGAGAGACCGAUAGCGAACAAGUACCGUGAGGGAAAGAUGAAAAGCACUUUGGAAAGAGAGUGAAACAGUACGUGAAAUUGUUGAAAGGGAAACGCUUGAAGUCAGUCGCGUUGACCGAGACUCAGCCUUGCCUUGGCUUGGUGUAUUUCUCGGCUGACGGGUCAGCAUCAAUUUUGAUCCUUGGAUAAUGGCAAGGGAAAGGUAGCACCUUUUAGGUGUGUUAUAGUCCUCUGUCGCAUGCGAGGGUUAGGAUUGAGGAACUCAGCACGCACCUCUGGGUGUCGGGGCUUCGGCCUACGUUACGUGCUUAGGAUGCUGGCGUAAUGGCUUUAAACGACCCGUCUUGAAACACGGACCAAGGAGUCUAACAUACCCGCGAGUGUUCGGGUGGAAAACCCGUGCGCGUAAUGAAAGUAAAAGUUGGGACCUCUGUCGUGGAGGGCACCGACGCCCGGACCAGACCUUCUGUGACGGCUCUGCGGUAGAGCGUGUAUGUUGGGACCCGAAAGAUGGUGAACUAUGCCUGAAUAGGGUGAAGCCAGAGGAAACUCUGGUGGAGGCUCGUAGCGAU
Molecule: ribosomal RNA, 1498 nt
Filed under: Russula sp. TU112053
Lineage: Eukaryota; Fungi; Basidiomycota; Agaricomycetes; Russulales; Russulaceae
Description: eukaryotic LSU rRNA
Rfam family: Eukaryotic large subunit ribosomal RNA (bases 595-1498)
Source: RNAcentral